This 7385-nucleotide long non-coding RNA is filed under the name Marmota monax (woodchuck). Lineage: Eukaryota; Metazoa; Chordata; Mammalia; Rodentia; Sciuridae. The record is from RNAcentral.
GCAGCACCGUCUCCUGGCCCCCUGGGCUCAAGCACGUCUUUGCCACCUACUCGGGCACGCUGAUGGUGCUGGGCCUGCUGCUCAACGGCCUGGCGCUCUGGGUGUUCUGCCGCCGCAUGCGGCAGUGGACGGAGACCCGCGUCUACAUGACCAACCUGGCCGUGGCCGACCUCUGCCUGCUCUCCUCCCUGCCCUUCGUGCUCUUCUCCCUGCAGCACACCUCCGACACCCCGCUGUGCCAGCUCUCGCAGGGAAUCUACCUGGCCAACAGGUACAUGAGCAUCAGCCUGGUCACGGCCAUCUCCGUGGACCGUUACGUGGCCGUGCGGCACCCGCUGCGUGCCCGAGGGCUGCGCUCCCCGCGGCAGGCUGUGGUGCUGUGUGCGGCGCUCUGGGUCCUGGUCCUAGGCUCCCUGGUGAUCCGCUGGCGCCUGGGGCUGCAGGAGGGCGGCUUCUGCUUCCGGAACUACGCCCGGCACGACUUCAGCAGCAGCACUUUCUCACUACUGGGCUUCUACCUGCCACUGGCUGUGCUGCUGUCCUGCUCCCUGCAGGUGGUGACUGCGCUGGCCCGGAGGCCAGCCUCCGAAGCCGGCCAGGUGGAGGCCACCCACAGGGCUGCCCGCAUGGUCUGGGCCAACCUGGUGGUGUUUGUGGUCUGCUUCCUGCCGCUGCACGUGGUGUUGACGGUGCAGGUGGCCAUGGGCCUGUCCUCCUGUGCAGAGCGCAAGGCCUUCAGCCGGGCCCUCUUCAUCACCAGCAGGCUCUCGGAUGCUAACUGCUGCCUGGACGCCGUCUGCUACUAUUACAUGGCCAAGGACUUCCAGGAGGCCUCCGCGCUGCCCACGCCCGCCGGCACCAAGGCCCACAAGAGCCAGGACUCUCUGAGCCUCGCCCUCACCUAGGGGGCACUCGCUGUGGGCCAGGUCUCAGGGCUCUGGGAGGGGCAGCUUGCCGGGGCACCUGGGGCCAGCGUGGAGCCCCGAGACAGACCCUGGCCUCACCCUGGUCUGUGGGCCCUCUAGGAGGCCAGUGGAAGGGCUGGACCCAGGUCUGCCGAGCCUCGGUGGCUUCGUUGCUAUCCUGGGAAGGGACAGGGACAGCAGCCAGAGGAUGACUCCUGAGGGGGUCAACCCCAAGGACCCUGGGACAGGGACACACAGCUGUCACCCUGGAGCUGACUCCCUUGGGGCACCGGGUGGGGCCUUGACAGCCUGCCUUCUUCUGUGGACCCCCUGGGCGGGGACAAAGCUGUCCGCUGCGGCAGGCUGGCAGGGCCCUCUGUCACUUUCACCCAGUCCUCGCCCUGGGUGGGGCUGCAGUGGCCUGGGUGUCUCCCUCCUUCCCACUCUUCCUCCCAGGCCCCUGCCCCUCUGCUGAGCCUGGUCUUUCUGGCUUGGCGGCCCUGGGGGCUCUUAGGACAUGCUGAAGCCCUCCUGAGGCGCCAGGCCCUGGCUCCGCCCCCCACUCCCCUGCAAAUGCCACCCAGCGCUUGCUGCCUGAUGGACACCCACCCCUCCCUCCCACCGCCCCCUGCAGCCUCUGAGGGGACCUCAGGCAGCCUUGGCUCCAGGCCCGUGGGGUGCGGCCUGCAGCGAGGUCCUGAGGCCCUUUAUGGAGGUGGGGCUCAGCCACUCCCACCAGAGCAUCCACCAGCACCCGGAGCUGCUGCCCAGGCCCAGGGCACCCAUCCCCAGGAGCCCUAGCUUGUUACCACCUGCCAGUCUGCCUCGGACACUCCCCGAGCCCCAUGCCUGCACUGGGCAUGGCCGGGUCACACUGUCCUGGGCAGUGUCAGGUGAGCAGGGCAGGGACAGUGCUAGGCAGCUGGCAAGGCCCUGUCCUGCACUGUCCCCCCUUCCUGUCUGCCGUUUCCUGCUGCAGGUAGCCCUGCCUGUGCCCGGAACAGCACCGCCAGCUUCCCUGGGAUGGGGCCCACCACGUCCACUCCGUGGCCUCACCCUGCCUUGGGCUGAGCUCCCCAUACCCCUUGGUCCCUCCAGAAUCCUUCCCAGCCCUCACAGAAACCCCACCCUCUGGACAUGUAUCCCUGCCCACCGGGUGGGCAGUUUCCCUGACCCUGACCCCCAGACUUACACUUCCAAGAGGCAGGAGGUCCACUGAGGGUCUUGCCCUAGGCUGGGAGUCUGCAGCCUGGCCAGUGGGGCCGAGGGGUCUGCAGGCCCCCUGUUCUGCCUCUCGCCGGGACUGGGGGUCCAGGGGGACAGGCGGACCAGGCUGCAGGCUCAGCUCAGGGAACCAAGGGUGGCAAAGAGCUGCAGGUGAGGGGCCAGGUGGCAGGAGCUUCCAAGAGCCCAGUCCUGAGAGAUGCCUGCAGGGCCACCAUGCACAGGCCUGGGCUGUCCCCCCAGUCACCAGCUGUGCCCAUGGGCUCUGACCACCAGAGCAGAAGGAAGGAGAGCACCGGAGAGGGAGAGUGUGGGCCUCUGUUGUGGCCAGGCUCCCUGCCUGGGUCCCGUCUUGCUGGACACAUGGCCCUCCUUGGCUUCCUUGCCCACACAGGGAGAUUGGGGGAUGGGGGUCUCCAGCUGCUGCACCCCUCAACCCAGCCUUGGCUUGGGGAUGUAGAGCCAAAGCUGCCCGUGUGGAUGCCAUCUCACCCUGGAGCAACCCCUCUGACCUUGGGCAGCAGGGUGACCCCAGGGCCCUGACCACUGGGUGAGCCAGCUUCUGGCGUGGGCAGAAGGCAGUUAGCUGGCUGCCCUCGCCUCUUGCCCCCAAGGCCUGCCUGUGCCUGGUAUCAGCCUGACCUUGGCCUCGCCUCUUGCCCCCAAGGCCUGCCUGUGCCUGGUAUCAGCCUGACCUUGGCCCAAGCCACUGGGAGAUGAUUCAACACACUCACCGAGCAGGCCCCCGGCCUCCACCCUAUGUCCUGCUGUGCACAAGCAGGGGAAAGGAGAGGAGCCUACCGCCCAGCACUGCUGGCCAGGCUGAGGGAGUGCCCCUCAGGUCCGGGUCUGCUCCCCUUGGGUGGUGGCCAGGACGACUUCAGGGUCCAUUGCCUGGACCCCUCCUGGGCCCACCUCAGAUCUGGCUUCCUGGCACUAAGUGCUAAAGCCUGGCCUCCCAGGGUCUGGGGCGGCGUCUUGCUACGAGGGCAGAGUGUGCUCAGACCCCUGUCCUUCCAGCCGGCGUGGGAGCAGGCCUCCGGGUGACUCCCAGGCCCGAAGGGAGUCUCUCUCCAGGAGGCCCCCAAGUCCCCUGCCAGCAGGCGAGGCCUCGUCUCUGUGGCCACAGGGCAGCAAGCCCAGGUCCCCGUCUUCAUGACCUCAGUCCUGGUGUAGGACUCGUGUAGCCCAACCCAGGCUCAACCUUUCCCUGCCAGGGUGCCUGGCGGAGGCUCUGCCUCGCGGUUGGAGGGAGAUUUCCAGAGGCUCCAGGUCCCGGGAGUCGCCUGCUGAGGAUCGGCUCUGGGACCUGGAACUGAGAACACAGGGCCGUAGGGCUGACCGCACCCUGGGCACCCAGUGGCGAUCCUUCCAGUAGCCUGUCCCCUGGGGGGUGCCGCCAGCCAUAGUCCUCCCGAGGGCACGUGUCCCCGGCCGUGUCUGCGGUACCACCUGCUAGACCCAGGGUGCCGCUGAGGAGGACGCGGGGCACACCAUCUGCUGAGAGGACCAGAGGAGUGCGUGUGGAGGACAGGGUCUGAGCACGUGUGGGGCGGGGAGAGGACAGGCAUCCUGCAGGGGCCGAAGGAGCCUGGGCCAGUGCCCGCAGUGGGCGGCAAGGAGUGGUCCUGCCCAUGGGCCAGGAGGGACCUCUGUGGGGGCACCCUGCUCUAGCUUGCCGUCUUGGUCAUGGGCAUUUUGUAAAACUGUUGAUGGCUACUGGGACCCAAAGCCUAGGAGGCAGAGCUGGGCCUCUGCGGGCCCCCCCCACCCCCGUGUUCCCCUGCCCCUCUGCUGGGCCGUCGGGAGCAGCCAGGGAACAGCCAGCUGUGCUGUGGGCCUUCACGGUGGGAACGCUGCUUCCCCAGAGGCCAUCUGCAGAUGGUCGCCCGUGGCUGGGCCGGAGUUAGCUCCUGCUGUCCCCACGGAGGGCGAGUGUGGAACCCUAAGUGGACAGCCGCGGGCAGCAGGUUAGCAGAACAAGCCGACUGAGUCCCCAGAGCAGGCACAGCAGGGCUGCGUCAGCCACCAGGAAACCUUUCCUGUGAAGGGUGCAGAGCAGACUCCAGCUCUCCUUCAGAACUGGGCCUGCUGCCCCGGGAGCGCCAAAGCAGCCGGGGGUUCAGGAGCCGGGGGCGCCGCCCGGUACACCCAGCCGCCCUCCCUCUACAGAAAGAGGCAGCAGUAGGAGGCCCUGAGCUGAGACUGCCGUCUUUCCUUGGGUCUGGCCACCGACAUUCCGCCUCACUCUCUGGCCUAAAUGAGCCUUUUCACCGCAGCAUGAGCUCCCACCCCACCUGACCCCAGCACCGGCCCCGGGGGGCAGCACCAGCUCCUGCCUCAGCCCAGCCACCUGCAGCCAGCUCCCACCAGGUCAGAGGGCACUGAGGUGGCGGCGCAGAGCCCCCAGGACCCCCUCUGGUGAGCGCGGUUUGUUGGCAGAGCCAGAGCGCCUCAGCAGAGCGUCCGGUCACUUAAGCCUAGGGCUGGGCUGGGCUGCAAGGAGAGGCAUCGAGGGCCAAGAGCCAGCCACCGACAGGCUGCCACGGGAGGUGUCUCCAGGAAGUGCUGUUCAUCGGGCAAGGGCCCAGGCCUGGGGGGCUGUCCGAAGGGGAGCAGAGAGGGGAGGUGGGCUGCGCCAGUAGUGGGCCUCCAGGACCUCUGAGCUCUGUGUCCUGGGCCCACAGACACCAGUCGCCCCUGGCGAGGGGCUGGCCGGGGGCUGGUGAGCUCCUGGCGAGGGACAACAGGGCCCGUCCUUCAGGUCUGCAUCUUGGUGGGUGAGGAGGUGGCAGGACUGCAGGCAGGGAGGUCUCGUGACCUCGAGGACGCUUGCCAAGGCAGGCGCCUGCAGGGGCCUAAAGCUCAGUGGCAUGGUGGCUGACGAGGACAUGGUGGCAGAUGUCUCCAGGCCCCGAGAAGCCACUGGACCCGGCUCUGCCUGGCCAGGUGAGCUUCUGGCUGCAGAGGGGUGCGACCUGGAGGUGAGGACGGAAGGGAUCAGGUGGCUAGGGUGCUGGUGGAGGUGUGCAGAGGGGGUCCUGAGGGCCCCGGCGCCAGGGAGCCUGUGUUGCUUCCGCAGGGGGUCCUGGGGGCUGAGUCCUCCUUGUGUCCAUGGCCCCUGGGGCCUCCACUCCCAGGCUCACAAGCAUGCAGCUAGAGUGUCAGGCCCUGAGCAGCCCUUGGGGUGGCAAUAGACAUGAUGCGGACUUUGCCAGGGCCCCUCAAACACGGACUGUACCACACUCACCCUCUUUACACUAGAUGCCCGACCUGUCCCACCCCACGUGGGGCAUCUGACAGAGUCCACUUCAGGUCUCCAGGGAAAUGAGGCCAGAACCGGAGCUUCUAGCCAGCCAGGAGGGAUGGUGCACACCUGUAAUCCCAAUGACUCAGAGGCUGAGAUAGGGGGGUUGCAAGUUUGAGGCCAGCCUUGGCCACUUUGAGGCCCUAAGCAACUUAGCAAGACCCUGUCUCAAAAAUAAAUAAAUAAAUAAAAAUAAAAAGAGCUGAAGAUGGAGCUCAGUGGUCCCUAAGUUCAAUCCUCAGUAGAACAACAAAAAAGAACCGGAAUUCAAAGUCUCAGGCAGGAGAAGCCUCCACUGUCCCAGCCUGGCUGGACUGAGAUCAGCUCCCUGCCAUUUUGGGGGACCCAGAAAGGUCAGCGGUGGCCAUCAGACUCGGGCCUCCUGGGUGAAACGUGAGUGCAGGGCGGGAGCUCUGCUGUUCUGAGGGCCACAGGCCUGAGUACAGGGCAGGGCCUCUGGCCACAGGCUCAGCCAGACCCAGGGUCACCUCUGCUCCAGGAAGAACCCGAGUCCCUCCCGGGGCCGGAACUUUCUGCAGGGCACUCAAGACACAGAGGCUGAGGAGUGGCGGGGCCACCCUCAGCCAAGAACACACGGCUCAGCCAUCGAUGGCUCCAGCAGGACAGUCUCAGUGCCCUCUGCACACAGAAGCUGCCCCGUUACGAUGGAGAAGCAAUGUGUCACCACGGAGGCCACCAUCCUCCCAGGUCACUUGGCCUCCUUGGGAAGGAGCCUGUGCUCCCCCAAGGGUGGCAGGUGACAAGUCCUGACUGUGCUUUGAGGGUCUAAGGACAGGUGGCCAUCUACCGCUGAGGCCAGGUCUGACCGCAGUCCUACCUGCUGGCAGUGUAGAGGGGUAGACGGCAACCAGGUCACGUGGCAGGCUGGGUUUCCGGGAGCUCCUGUCCCUGGCCACUGCCCCUCGCUUCCUUGAAGGACGCAGAGCUCUAAACUCUCUGCCACAGUCAGCGAGGGUGGGGUGGACAGAGAAGGGUGGGGAGAGCUUGACCUCUGAGGUCGUUCCCGGGCUGGCCUUGGAGUACCCAGGGGCCUGUGCCACCUACAGAAACCCCAUAAAACGUGCUCUGGGAGCCCCAACUCUGCCCGAUAUCACUCAGGGUCGGAGGCAGAGGAGAAGGUUUCCAGGAGACGUGGGAGGCCAGGUGCCUCUCUGGGCUCCACAGGGUUGGGGCUGAGGGCCGGGAGGCAGAGUCCACACGGGCAGGUCUCCAGGGCUGCCAACACACCAGGCCACAAGAGCACCAAACCAAGACGUGCUCUGGCCAACUCCAGCGAGCGGUCCUGCGCCACAGAGGACCGCGAGCCCCCUGUCCACAGCUGCGGACAAGCCCCCAAACUCACUGAGUGCUGCUCCAGGCCUCACUAGCAGACCACGACUCAGAAGGGCCCCAGGAGGCGGCAGGUGGCGUGGGGUUGGCUGUCCCCACCCCGUACAGCAGGCACGGAGGGGACUGUCCACUGGGCAUCUCUCGUCGCCGUCUCUAGGGCAGGCCCAGCUUAGGUGGAGCAGCUGGACCUCCACACAGCAGCAAGACCAGACGGGGAGGCUCGGGGGCGGGUGGCAGCAGGGGAAACAGGGUUUCUGGAUCCCUGGGAGACAACCCUGGAGCACGGGGCAGAGAGGUGUGGGUCUGCUCACAGUGUUUGUGAACCACUUACCAGUAAGAGUCACAUUUAUAUGAUGCAUAUUUACAAAACACUAACCUAAAAUUAUACUUCUGCCAGUCUCCACUUGAGAUGUGUGAUUACUCAGAUCAUAACAAUAAAACCAAAGAGAAAACAUCGAUACUCUUUUAGAAGACAAAACAAAGUUCUCGCUGUGUUUCUGUGUUUUUUGUCCCACUUUCUAGUAUAACAAAGUAUUUUAAUUACCCUUCCUCCAAAUAGAACACCAUGAAAAUACUUGUAGGAGUUGGAUCUCAGUAAC